GAUGAACGCUGGCGGCGUGCCUAAUACAUGCAAGUCGAGCGAACAGACGAGGAGCUUGCUCCUCUGACGUUAGCGGCGGACGGGUGAGUAACACGUGGAUAACCUACCUAUAAGACUGGGAUAACUUCGGGAAACCGGAGCUAAUACCGGAUAAUAUAUUGAACCGCAUGGUUCAAUAGUGAAAGACGGUUUUGCUGUCACUUAUAGAUGGAUCCGCGCCGCAUUAGCUAGUUGGUAAGGUAACGGCUUACCAAGGCAACGAUGCGUAGCCGACCUGAGAGGGUGAUCGGCCACACUGGAACUGAGACACGGUCCAGACUCCUACGGGAGGCAGAAGUAGGGAAUCUUCCGAAAUGGGCGAAAGCCUGACGGAGCAACGCCGCGUGAGUGAUGAAGGUCUUCGGAUCGUAAAACUCUGUUAUUAGGGAAGAACAAAUGUGUAAGUAACUAUGCACGUCUUGACGGUACCUAAUCAGAAAGCCACGGCUAACUACGUG
This 497-nucleotide ribosomal RNA is filed under the name uncultured bacterium. RNAcentral describes it as "partial 16S ribosomal RNA". It matches the Rfam family "Bacterial small subunit ribosomal RNA", at positions 28 to 507 of the family's 1533-position model. The record is from RNAcentral.